AGAGUUUGAUCAUGGCUCAGAAUGAGCGCUGGCGGCGUGCCUAACACAUGCAAGUCGAGCGUGAAAGGCCUUCGGGCUGAGUAAAGCGGCGAACGGGUGAGUAAAGCGUGAGAAUCUGCCCUUUCAGUGAAGGAUACCUUCGAGAAAUCGGAGUUAAUACUGCAUACGUCCCUCCGGGGAGAAAGAUGGCCUCUUUGCUGUCGCUGAUUGAUGAGCUUACGUACUAUUAGCUAGUUGGUAGGGUAAAGGCCUACCAAGGCGAUGAUGGUUAACCGGCCUGAGAGGGUGUACGGUCACACUGGAACUUAGACACGGUCCAGACUCCUACGGGAGGCAGCAGUGAGGAAUCUUGCACAAUGGGCGAAAGCCUGAUGCAGCGACGCCGCGUGGAGGAUGAAGGUCUUCGGAUUGUAAACUUCUGUUAAGUGGGAAGAAAGACGCAAUUUUAAUAAAGUUGUGGGAUGACGGUACCAUUAGAGAAAGCACCGGCUAACUUCGUGCCAGCAGCCGCGGUAAUACGAAGGGUGCAAGCGUUAUUCGGAAUGAUUGGGCGUAAAGGGUGCGCAGACGGUUUGCUAAGUCAACUGUUAAAUUCCCCGGCCUAACCGGGAGCUCGCAGUAGAAACUGACAAACUAGAGGAUGGAAGAGAGAAGCGGAAUUCUCGGAGUAGCGGUAAAAUGCGUAGAUCUCGAGAGGAACACCGAUGGCGAAGGCAGCUUCUUGGUCCAUUUCUGACGUUCAGGCACGAAAGCGUGGGGAGCAAACAGGAUUAGAUACCCUGGUAGUCCACGCCGUAAACGAUGAUCACUAGACGUUAGUCGUGCUUGCAUGACUAGUGUCGUAGCUAACGCGUUAAGUGAUUCGCCUGGGAAGUACGGUCGCAAGAUUAAAACUCAAAGGAAUUGACGG
RNAcentral lists this ribosomal RNA (910 nucleotides) under uncultured bacterium. RNAcentral's name for it is "bacterial SSU rRNA". It matches the Rfam family "Bacterial small subunit ribosomal RNA", at positions 8 to 916 of the family's 1533-position model. The record is from RNAcentral.